RNAcentral lists this ribosomal RNA (253 nucleotides) under uncultured bacterium. RNAcentral describes it as "partial 16S ribosomal RNA". It matches the Rfam family "Bacterial small subunit ribosomal RNA", at positions 524 to 776 of the family's 1533-position model. The record is from RNAcentral.
UACAGAGGUCUCAAGCGUUGUUCGGAUUCAUUGGGCGUAAAGGGUGCGUAGGCGGCAGUGCAAGUCAGGUGUGAAAUCCCGGGGCUCAACCCCGGAACUGCACUUGAUACUGCUCUGCUCGAGUACUGGAGAGGAGACUGGAAUUUACGGUGUAGCAGUGAAAUGCGUAGAGAUCGUAAGGAAGACCAGUGGCGAAGGCGAGUCUCUGGACAGUUACUGACGCUGAGGCACGAAGGCCAGGGGAGCAAACGGG